UAUUGAAAAAAAUUAAGGGGACAAUUGCUCUCUUCUGUACCCACGUGGCCGCCACUGAGACUGUAAUUAUACAUGUCUGAGCGAAAAAGAGGCUUUUAGGCGUGGGUUUUGAAACUGUGUCGAUAACCUGAUUGGGCUGAUUUUAGUUGAAUGCAUAGGUUAGGUGGGGUUGCAGUGUUGGGUGUUGUUAGCUGUUGUCUCUAAGGAACACAACGUGUGCAUAUGUUGAAGAACUGCUGAUAUUCCUUCACAACAAGUGAUACCGAUGCUGAACCUCGCUGAUGGAAAUGGGUAAGAUUUCUUGGCGACUGAAGAGAAUGAGAAAACAUUCCAUCUUUUGUCUGUAUAUAAUUGGAAAAGCUCAUUAUGAACUUCAAUUUUUAAACAAUACAAUUCAGGUUAUUGUUAAUCAAAUAUUGUUAAGGAUGUUUAUGUUCUCUACAUCCCAGGGAAAGUGAAGGCUUAUUUCAGUAUGGUACCACCACAGAGAAGCUGAGGAUUUACGUGUUGUGGUUCAACAUUUUCAUGGGGAGAAACGUGAGAUAAUUGGACAUAGUAAAGGUCCAUUUUCUUCGUUGCUAAGUGUCUACAAAAUGAAAGAACAAAAAAUAAAUAAAUGAAAUUAGACAGCAUUUUGGAAAUAUGUGGAUUUUGAGUGGAGCACUUUGUAGCGAGCUAUAGAUGUAAUUUUACAUGAAAAUUUCUGUAUAUUAGAAUUUUUAUUUUCUCUUACAUAGUCUUUUGUUGGCAUUCAAAUAGCAUCAAUGUUUGCCUUUUUUUUAUCAUGAAAAUUCUCUAUAUUAA
Molecule: long non-coding RNA, 804 nt
Organism: Populus euphratica (Euphrates poplar)
Lineage: Eukaryota; Viridiplantae; Streptophyta; Magnoliopsida; Malpighiales; Salicaceae
Exons: 3
Source: RefSeq, a predicted model, not a curated record